UCUCUCUCUCUCUCUCUCUCUCUCUCUCUCGAAUCCAUGGGAGAGAUAAUAUCUUAAAAUGCUGAUGAAUAUUCUUGAUAGAAGAAGAGAAAAUUUGAACCUGAAAUUUGAUGAAAUCGUUUCCUGGUGUUCCAUGAGAUUAACAAUCAAGGUUCAGAUGAGACAAGAUGAACAUUACAUGUUCAUUUUCACUGAAAACAUGGGGAACAAAAAAAGAUGAACUCUCUUGGGAUCCCCUGAAAGCUUCAUGAUAACCAACAUAUUCAGUGAAUUUUUUUUUCUCCAUCACAUGUUCAACGAUUUUCUUCUAUUGAUCAGAGUUGUUAUUGAUUCUGGUGUAAUAGUAAUAACAAUUAACUUUGAUUGUCAACCAUCAACAAGUAAGUAAAACAAUUUCCAAUGAAACCGUUGAAAUCACAAUUUAAUUAUCCAAGUUGAAUGAAUGAAAAAAAAAACUUCAAUCAACAAUAUAAACAAUCAAAAGGUUAACCUGAAUACGAUUGAUUUUUUUUCUGUUCACAAGUUCUUAAUCAUUAUCAGGGGAUUAUCAUCUGAGGCGUUGUCCACUUUCAUCAUUAGUAUCAUGUCUAUGGUCAGUGAGCUCAAUCAGGACUGAAAUUAGGUUAAUAGGGUUAAUCAAAUGGUUAAUUGUUACAAUUGUGUUACGAUUUUCAUUUCUAUCUCUCAUCCAUUGACAGAAUAAUAAUAAUAAUAUUUACUCAAAAUGUUAAUGUAAAUACUAUUGAAUAACAUAAUCAUCUUAUUUAUUUUGUCACUCAAUGAAUUAUUUAAGAAUCAAUAAUAAUCUCAAUUGAGUGUAAACGAUUUGCUGUUGUUUUCCAUGAUUAACUCAAUAUAAGAUUGUGAAUGCUGAAUGGAAAAUAGGAAAUUUUUAUCAACUGAGAAAACAAUUUAUCUAUUUAAUGUGAACUGGAUCAGAAUUUUUUUCUUCUUCUUUAAGUGUUUAAUGUGACUCUUGGGAUAAACUUAUAAUCGUCCUGAAGGUAACGAGUAAAAGUACUGAUCAAAGGAUAAGGUGAAAUAAUUCAGUUCCAAGUUUAUUUUAUCCCUGAAACUGAUCAACUAACAUUAGGUAAACAAUUGAAAUCCAUUGAAAGUUAAAUUGAAAGAUAAUUCAGUUCCAAGUGAUUAAAAAAGUUUUUCUAAUUUUCUCAGGGACCUUAACAUUAUUUUCCUUACAGUGCCAAAUAUUAUUCAAGAUAUUUUGAGUAUUGGCACUUGGAAUCAUUGGUAAUUAACAUGGUAUUUCCUUAAUUACAGAACUGAGUUAUUAUUAUGUAUUGAAUUCAUUAUUAUUGACAACAAUUUGAAUUGAUAAAAGUUCAAGUUCAAAUUUGAUUUAAAACUUAACUAAUUAGAUUUCAACUGAACUUUUUCAUGACACAGGAAAAUUAUUGAAAAUUUGUGUGUCUUUCAGCUCGUUGAUUAACUUUAAUUAUUUGGUAACAUAUUAGCUUGAUUAUUCAUUAAGAUUAUCAUGUUGAUCAGUUGAUACUGAUACUCUGUGAGUAGAUAAAUGGAUUAAUUAAGAAAUUAAUUGACUUUAGAUAAGCUGAAUUGAGAAAGAGUGAGAGAGAGAGAUGAAAUUAAUGAGCAAGGUGAAAAGUUAUUCGAGUGUUAUUAUCUUUAAUCAAGUUUACUCACAAAUAAUCAAGGAAGUUGAUUGAAACAGAAGAUGAAUCGAAGGCAACUUCCGGUUUAAGCUCAAUAAAAGACAUGGUAUAUUCAUGGAGGCAAACGGAUUUCCUUUCAACUAUUCACAUUCAAUCAGAAAAGUUCAGAAAGUUUCAGAUGAAUAUAAUAUUAGAAAUCAUUGGAUAACAGUAUUGAUCACAACAUCUAAAUUGAUAAUGAUGAUUACGUUGAAUCUCAUCAAUGAAACAAGAACGAGAAUUAAUCAAGAAAAAAAAACGAUCCGGAAGCAACAAUCAAUUUCCAAUUGUGUUGCUAUCACAAUUUACCUUUCAAUUUAAAAUGAUUAUCUGAUUGUUAUCAACAUUGUAAACUAUUUGUAACUAUUGAUAUUGACCAAUUGUUGUUAUAAUUAAAUUGAUGAAACCAUUGUGAUUGAAAUUUGAUUGAAAGUUCAACUAAUUGCUGGAUUAAUUUACCUUCAUGUUAUAUAUAUUAUGUGACCAUCAUGAAGUUAAUUCUGAACAUUAAUAAUGAAUUGAUUGAUGAUUGAUCAACAAUUAAUUGACUACGAAUUGUUGAUUCAUAUUUAGCUUCAUUAUCAGCAAUCAAUUAUCAGUCAAUUAAUCAAAUGAAAAAUAAAUUAUUCAAUUGAAUUGUUAUUAAAUCAUUUUGAUAACUAGGGACAUCUUUUGGUUACCAAUGAAAGUAAUUGGAUCACAAUUAAGAAAACAAAUUAAAUUAAUUACCUUUGGCAAUUGUAUUCUAAUCAUCGAUAGUUAAACUUAUCUAGUUAAUUUAGUUGAUAUUUAUGUAUGAAAAUUGAUUAAUCAUUUUAAUUACUCUUUGUUAACUGUUGUGAACUUGAUUUUUGGUAUAUAAAGUUAAUUGUUUAAUUCAGUGUUAAUGAUUAGUACAAGUUGGUGACAAUUUAGUCAACCAUUUGAUCAUUAGAUUAGUUUAAUAGUUAAUAAAAUAACGGUACAAUUAGGUCAAGUGUAAAUCAAGUUAAAUAUUAAAUUAAAUGAUUGUCUGAUGUUGAUCAAGUUUAUUUGUUUUGGAAACAAUUUAUUUUAUUAUUAAAUUUGAUUAUUUAAAUUAUUAAACAAUUUGCUUCGAUUACAUUAUCUUAAUUGUUAAGGGUGAAAUUUAACCGGAAGAUUAAUGAGCUAAUGAAUAUAAUUUCCUAUAACAAUACAAUUAAUUAAAUUGAUUCAAUUAACUUAAUGAUUCUGUGAUUGUUUUUGGAUAUCACAUCGUAUAUGUAGAC
Long non-coding RNA from Panonychus citri (citrus red mite), 2923 nucleotides. RefSeq lists it as uncharacterized. The transcript is spliced from 3 exons. The record is from RefSeq and is a predicted model, not a curated record. NCBI's taxonomy places the organism in Eukaryota, Metazoa, Arthropoda, Arachnida, Trombidiformes, Tetranychidae.